UCUGGUGGCAAUGACGGAGAGGUCACACCUGUUCCCAUCCCGAACACAGAAGUUAAGCUCUCCAGUGUCGAUGGUACUUGGACCGAAGGGUCCUGGGAGAGUAGAUCGCCGCCGGGU
Molecule: non-coding RNA, 117 nt
Organism: Clostridia bacterium BRH_c25
Lineage: Bacteria; Bacillati; Bacillota; Clostridia
Source: Rfam